This is a long non-coding RNA of Marmota monax (woodchuck), 543 nucleotides long. RefSeq lists it as uncharacterized. The transcript is spliced from 3 exons. Lineage: Eukaryota; Metazoa; Chordata; Mammalia; Rodentia; Sciuridae. The record is from RefSeq and is a predicted model, not a curated record.
GGAAACCAAUGGCGAAGGAAGAGGAUUAUCUCUACUGGUCCCUAGGAAGACCCUCAGGUGCAAGGUGAAGAAGUGUCAGAGGGAAGAGCACCCGGGUGGAUGGAAGCAGGUGGGAAGCCAUGCCUGUGGCCAGCAGGAGGCGGGAGGCAGGAAGUGCUCAAAAUAUGAACCAUGACACCAGAGGGUCACUGCUGCCAGUCUUCGUUGCUCAUCUCUACCCAUCACGGUCACACGAGCAUUUCUACACAGCUCUGAGGACCAGGACCAGCCUCCUCAAAGGGGCUUCUGACCCAGACAAGAACAAGGACCAAGUGCCAACGAAUUUGGAAAAUACAGACUUAGGAAGGUAAUCACGUUGAUGAUAACGCAUUCCCUGCGCUGUGAUUUGAUCUGGGAAUAGAAAUAUCGCACAGCCUGGCUUUGCUGUCAGAUGUUCUAUUUGUUUUUCCCCCCUAGAAAAGGGGAAAAGGGAACAUCCAGGUGAGUGGCUCUGCUCACCUGAGGCUUGCCACUCCACUCCUCAUCCCCAGGAGGCACUUUCUC